GACGAACGCUGGCGGCGUGCUUAACACAUGCAAGUCGAACGAAGAGCGAUGGAAGCUUGCUUCUAUCAAUCUUAGUGGCGAACGGGUGAGUAACGCGUAAUCAACCUGCCCUUCAGAGGGGGACAACAGUUGGAAACGACUGCUAAUACCGCAUACGAUCUAAUCUCGGCAUCGAGGAUAGAUGAAAGGUGGCCUCUACAUGUAAGCUAUCACUGAAGGAGGGGAUUGCGUCUGAUUAGCUAGUUGGAGGGGUAACGGCCCACCAAGGCGAUGAUCAGUAGCCGGUCUUAGAGGAUGAACGGCCACAUUGGGACUGGGACACGGCCCAGACUCCUACGGGAGGCAGCAGUGGGGAAUCUUCCGCAAUGGACGAAAGUCUGACGGAGCAACGCCGCGCGAGCGAUGACGGCCUUCGGGUUGUAAAGCUCUGUUAAUCGGGACGAAAGGCCUUCUUGCGAAUAGUGAGAAGGAUUGACGUUACCGGAAUAGAAAGCCACGGCUAACUACGUG
RNAcentral lists this ribosomal RNA (510 nucleotides) under uncultured bacterium. RNAcentral describes it as "partial 16S ribosomal RNA". It matches the Rfam family "Bacterial small subunit ribosomal RNA", at positions 28 to 507 of the family's 1533-position model. The record is from RNAcentral.